UCUUGGGCCAAGGGAAGAAAAUGUCUGACCCAAAACAACCCCCGCCUUGAAGGAGAGAAGGUUUUUCGGAUUUGAAAAAACUUUUGUUGGUAGAAAAAAAACGUGGUGAAGAGUGGAAAGCUCAUCAAGUGACGGUAACUACCCAGAAAGGGACGGCUAAAUACGUGCCAGCAGCCGCGGUAUACGUAGGUCCCCAAGCGUUGUCCGGAUUUAUUGGGCGUAAAGCGAGCGCAGGUGGUUUAUUAAGUCUGGUGUAAAAGGAGUGGCUCAACCAUUGUAUGCAUUGGAAACUGGUAGACUUGAGUGCAGGAGAGGAGAGUGGAAUUCCAUGUGUAGCGGAAAUGCGUAGAUAUAUGGAGGAACACCGGUGGCGAAAGCGGCUCUCUGGCCUGUAACUGACACUGAGGCUCGAAAGCGGGGGAGCAAACAGGAUUAGAUACCCUGGUAGUCCACGCCGUAAACGAUGAGUGCUAGAUGUAGGGAGCUAUAAGUUCUCGUAUCGCAGCUAACGCAAUAAGCACUCCGCCUGGGGAGUACGACCGCAAGGUUGAAACUCAAAGGAAUUGACGGGGGCCGCACAAGCGGUGGAGCAUGUGGUUUAAUUCGAAGCAACGCGAAGAACCUUACCAGGUCUUGACAUACUCGUGCUAUCUAGAGAUAGGAAGUUCCUUCGGGACACGGGAUACAGGUGGUGCAUGGUUGUCGUCAGCUCGUGUCGUGAGAUGUUGGUUAAGUCCCGCAACGAGCGCAACCCCUAUUGUUAGUUGCCAUCAUUAAGUUGGGCACUCUAACGAGACUGCCGGUGAUAACCGGAGGAAGGUGGGGAUGACGUCAAAUCAUCAUGCCCCUUAUGACCUGGGCUACACACGUGCUACAAUGGAUGGCAACGAGUCGCGAGACAGUGAUGUUUAGCUAAUCUCUUAAAACCAUUCUCAGUUCGGAUUGUAGGCUGCAACUCGCCUAAUGAAGUCGGAAUCGCUAGUAAUCGCGGAUCAGCACGCCGCGGUGAAUACGUUCCCGGGCCUUGUACACACCGCCCGCACACCACGGGAGUUGGGAGUACCCGAAGUAGGUUGCCUAACCGCAAGGAGGGCGCUCCUAAGUAAGACCG
RNAcentral lists this ribosomal RNA (1111 nucleotides) under Lactococcus lactis. RNAcentral describes it as "bacterial SSU rRNA". It matches the Rfam family "Bacterial small subunit ribosomal RNA", at positions 359 to 1470 of the family's 1533-position model. Lineage: Bacteria; Bacillati; Bacillota; Bacilli; Lactobacillales; Streptococcaceae. The record is from RNAcentral.